This 539-nucleotide long non-coding RNA is filed under the name Androctonus crassicauda. The record is from RNAcentral. Lineage: Eukaryota; Metazoa; Arthropoda; Arachnida; Scorpiones; Buthidae.
CAUUACGGUGGUCAUCUUUCAUUCCUAUAGCUUUACCGGUGUUUAAGCCUCCAUCAUGCUGCCUUUUUGACCUAAACUCCUCUAGUAAUCUUUGCACAAAUUUCAUCGUAUAACCAUGGUUUCAGGCUACAUCUUUUAUCCGCAUUAUUUCAUUUUCAACAUCCUUGAUUCGUGUGCAAUGGGUGUGGGCUCUUCUUAUAUGUGCUCUAAAAGCCGCCUUCUUGUGGGUCCAUGUAUCAUGAGACCAACUCGGUAUUAUAAGUGUCUGACUUGUUGGUUUUCUAUAAAUAUUGGUGCUAAAAGACGCUCCUUGCACUUUAAGUUCAACGUCCAAAAAAUGUAUAAGAUUGUCACUAACUUGUUCCAGUUUCAACGUUAAUCCAUAGGCCUGUUGGGUGAAGGUUUUCUCUAAAACAUGGACAUCUCUAUCUUUAUCCCAGAGAACGAAAAGGUCAUCAACAUAACGUAUAUAUAAUUUUGUUUCAUUUAUUAAAGAAUUCCAUAGUGAGUUUUCUAAAGUUGUUAGUGUUAGUUCAGCU